CCGCCCUUAGCUCAGGUGGAUAGAGCACUCGCCUUCUAAGCGAGCGGUCACACGUUCGAAUCGUGUAGGGCGGGCCA
RNAcentral lists this transfer RNA (77 nucleotides) under Bordetella ansorpii. RNAcentral describes it as "tRNA-Arg(tct)". It matches the Rfam family "tRNA". From Rfam's summary of the family: Transfer RNA (tRNA) molecules are approximately 80 nucleotides in length. Their secondary structure includes four short double-helical elements and three loops (D, anti-codon, and T loops). Further hydrogen bonds mediate the characteristic L-shaped molecular structure. tRNAs have two regions of fundamental functional importance: the anti-codon, which is responsible for specific mRNA codon recognition, and the 3' end, to which the tRNAs corresponding amino acid is attached (by aminoacyl-tRNA synthetases). tRNAs cope with the degeneracy of the genetic code in two manners: having more than one tRNA (with a specific anti-codon) for a particular amino acid; and 'wobble' base-pairing, i.e. permitting non-standard base-pairing at the 3rd anti-codon position. Lineage: Bacteria; Pseudomonadati; Pseudomonadota; Betaproteobacteria; Burkholderiales; Alcaligenaceae. The record is from RNAcentral.